GAGUGAUAAAUCAUAGCCUUUACUCGCACGGGUGAGGCCCUACAAUAUCGAUCGCGAGCAAAGAGUUCAUUGAAUUAGGGAAAAUGGCUAGAGAGGCCCUUGUUGUCGAACACGAGGCCUCGAACGGAUUACGGCGACAAAAAUUGAGCAGACACGCGGUGGCCCGCUUGGUGUGAGGUAUACACGCGGGACCUCCGCUAUUGUAAGGAGUGUGGAUUUGGUGCCUUGGGUUGAGUUUCCUUUUUGAUGUGCUGCCAAAACUACUGAUCCCUCGGGAAAAACUAAGGUGCUAAGUAGAUCCUCUGAAGAAAGGUCAGCUGAUAUUUCAUUUGAUAAUCAAUCUAAAGCGACUUCAAGCAUUUCAUCAAAUAGUAAGAGUGAUUUAUCAACUAUUGAUGAAACUUGUGAAAUUUUUCGUAGGAUGCAAUCUUCUGUUUAGUAUUGUUGAAUCAAUUCCGUUUAAAGAGUUUGUUAAGUCGUUAAAUCCGAACUAUCAUCUGCCAUGCAGAAAAACUCUCUCCAAUACGUUGUUAAAUAAAUUACACAGCAAAAUUUCAAGUGAACACACAAAAAUGGAUCAGUCAGAAGGAGUAAUAGUGAUAGAUGGUUGGAAAAAUUCGGUUGUAAAUACUAAAAAUGUUGUAUGUAUUAUUCAUACAGCAAAUGAACCAAGUUUUUUUUUAAACUCUUGGGAUUUCACAUUGUUAUCUGAAGAUACACAAUAAUUAACUAAAGUUAUUGAAGAAGCUGUCGAAAUAGCCAAAACAAAUUAUAAUAAAACCAUUUAUGCCGUAGUUUCUGAUAACGCUCCAGUUAUGACAGCAAUGGGUAAAGCUGUAAAUUUAUGGCAUGCAGGAUGCAGCAGUCAUCAUGGAAAUUUACUUGCCAAGGAACUUAUUGAUAAAUCAUUUGCAGAAUCUAUAAAUACCAUUUUACGUACAUUCAAAGCUUCUAAUUUAGAACGAGAGAUAAUAGAAAACGGAGGAACAAAAAUUAAAUUGGCUUGCAAAACUCGUUGGUGCAGUUAUCGUGAUGCGUUUCGGUGUUGCUUAAAAAAUUUAGAUAUAAUGAAAAAAAUUAUCAGUAAUAAAUUAAACAAUCCGUCUUUUACAAAUCAAAAAAACAAGAGAAAGAAAAAUUGAUUACUUUGAAUGAUCAGAUUUUCGAUGAUUCUUUAAUAACAAAAUUACAAAAUUUCAUCGUUUUAUCUAAUCCAGUUUGUUCAUUAAUUAAUAAAUGUCAACAGUCAAAUUUUACUUUACCUGAUGCAGCUGAAGAGUGGAUGAAAUUAAAGGUUCUGACUGAGAAUGAAAAAAUUCAAGAAAUUGUCCAAAAACGCAUUGACAAAGUAUUGACUCGAAUUUUAUUAGCAGCGAAUUUAUUGCAUCCAGAUUAUCAAGGAAAAUAGUUUCGUCAUACCGAUAAAUAUUAUUCUCAAGCUAUUGAAUUUAUAAGGAAUGAAUUAAAUGAAUCUUAUCAUGAAAUGGAAGCUUAUGAAAAUAAAGUUGGAAUUUUUGAAUCAUUACUGAAAAAAGGAAAUAUCCCUCCAAAAUUAUUUUGGCAAAUGGCCGAAAACUCAUACCCAGUAAUUUCUCAAUUAGCUCAACGAUUGAUUAACAUUCCAUCGUCAUCAGCACAAAUUGAAAGAUUAUUUUCAAACAGGACAUUUGUUCAUUCUUGUCUUCGAAAUCGUUUAACACCCGAACGUUCAGAAAAGUUAAUCGACAUUUAUUAUACAUUGAAAAUGAGUUCUGGAAAUUCGAAAUGAGUAUUUAAAAUAUAUAUAUUGUGUAA
This 1794-nucleotide long non-coding RNA is filed under the name Cotesia glomerata. RNAcentral describes it as "uncharacterized LOC123270301". The record is from RNAcentral. Lineage: Eukaryota; Metazoa; Arthropoda; Insecta; Hymenoptera; Braconidae.